RNAcentral lists this ribosomal RNA (1740 nucleotides) under Blyttiomyces helicus. Its description in RNAcentral is "eukaryotic LSU rRNA". It matches the Rfam family "Eukaryotic large subunit ribosomal RNA", at positions 1688 to 3165 of the family's 3401-position model. The record is from RNAcentral. Lineage: Eukaryota; Fungi; Chytridiomycota; Chytridiomycetes.
AGUCGUCAAGUCCAUCCCCUCAAGAUCCCACCAUCAAGCCUGCUGCCCCUGACACCCCCCAUCAACUCAUCGUCUACUCAGAUCACAAGAAUCUUGUCUACUUCAUGUCGUCUCCCAUACUUGAUUGCCGUCAAGCAAGAUGGGCCCUGUCCUUGUCCUGCUCCGAUUUUGUGAUCACAUACCGUGAAGGACGUCUUCAUGGGAAGCCUGAUCCCCUGUCUUGCCGCUCCUUCCUGUCGCCUAAAAAGGGGGUUGAGGCAACCAUCCAGCAAGAAUGAUUCAUUCUGGGUUCAAGCCGUCUUCAAGCCUCCACCCUGGUCACAUGCACUCUUAUUUAGACACCACAAAAGGUGGUAGUUCAUGCAGACAGCAGGACGGUGGCCAUAUGUGGUGCGUUCCAGACGGUCAGUGAAAAUCCGAGGGAGAGUUUCAUUUUCAUACCUAGUGGCACUCAUAACCACAACAGGUCUCCAAGGUGAACAGCCUCUAGUUGAUAGAACAAUGUAGAUAACGGAAGUCUGUAAAAUAGAUCCAUAACUUCAGGAAAAGGAUUGGCUCUAAGGGUUGGGUGCAUUCGGCCAUUGUUUAAAGCCUUGGAUCUGGCCUGGGACUACUCGAGUAGCAAGACAAGAGCGGAUCCAGGCCACAUCUGGGUGUGGCGGACUUUGGCAUGCUUCACGGCGUCUGGUGCACAGCUAAUAACCAACUUACAACUGGUACAGACAAAGGGAAUCUGACUGUCUGAUUACAACAUAGCAUUGCGAUGGUUAGAAAAUAAAGUUGACGCAAUGAGAUUUCUGCCCAAUGCUCUAAAUGUCAAAGUGAAGAAAUUCAACCAAGUGUGGGUAAACGGCUGGAGUAACUAUGACUCUCUUAAGGUAGCCAAAUGCCUUGUCAUCUAAUUAGUGAUGCCCAUGAAUCGAUUUACGAGAUUACCACUGUCCCUAUAUACUAUCUAGCAAAACCACAGCCAAGGUAACGGGCUUGAAAUAAUCAGCAGCGAAGGAAGACCCUGUCGAGCUUGACUCUAGUUUGACAUUGUGAAAAAAAUAGGGGGUGUAGAAUAAGUGGGAGCUUCGCCGCCGGUGAAAUACCACCACCCUUAUCAUUUUUAACGAUCAAGCAGGAUUGGCCUGCACCGGCCACCUUCUGGUAUUAAGGCACAUUGCCUGCUAGCCUGGGUUGAAAACAAUUGUCAGGUGGGGAGUUUGGCUGGGGCGCCACAUUUGUUCAAAUAGAACGCAGGUGUGCUAAGGGGAACUCAUCGAGAACAGAAAUCUCGAAUAGAACAAAAGGGUGCAAGUUCCCUUGAUUUUGAUUUUCAACGUGAAUACAAACCGUGAAAGUGUGGACUAUCGAUUCUUUAGUUGCUGGGUAUUUCAGCCUAGAGGUGUCAGAAAAGUUACCACAGGGAUACUUGGCUCGUGGCAGCGAAGUGUUCAUAGCGAUGUUGCAAUUUUUUCCUUCAAUGACGGCUCUUCCUAUGAUUGGGAAGCAGAAGUCUCAAAGCGUCAGAUUGUUCACCCGCCAAUAGGGAACGUGAGCUAGGUUUAGACCGUCGUGAGACAGGUUAGUUUUACCCUACUGAUGAAGGGUUUUUGCAGUAGUAAUUCAACCUAAAUGGCUUCGCAUGAUUGGUUUUUGCGAUUAGCUGAAAAGCUAGUGCCGCAACGCUACCAUGCGUCGGAUUAAGGCUGAACGCCUCUAAGUCGGAAUCUAUGCAAGAACGCAAUGACUUCU